Molecule: long non-coding RNA, 231 nt
Filed under: Elaeis guineensis (African oil palm)
Lineage: Eukaryota; Viridiplantae; Streptophyta; Magnoliopsida; Arecales; Arecaceae
Description: long non-coding RNA (EGUI_LNC059878)
Source: RNAcentral
UGGAUUGAUUGUCCUCUUAAUCCAAGAAUAUGGUGAUAUUGGUAUGGCAUACAAGUGAGAUAUAGAAGUACAUUGUUACAGAAUAAAUGACUCACCUACCGAGCAUUCUGCUGUCAAGAAUUGCAUGUGAAGUAUAUGGGUAUAAGUGUUCUUCAAAUCUAAGAUCAUUAUAGUGACUUGCAAGCAACUCACUGUGCUUUGGUGUCGAACUAUUUGGAUUUCUAAUACAGU